Molecule: transfer RNA, 85 nt
Filed under: Salmonella enterica subsp. enterica serovar Montevideo
Lineage: Bacteria; Pseudomonadati; Pseudomonadota; Gammaproteobacteria; Enterobacterales; Enterobacteriaceae
Description: tRNA-Cys
Rfam family: tRNA
About the family: Transfer RNA (tRNA) molecules are approximately 80 nucleotides in length. Their secondary structure includes four short double-helical elements and three loops (D, anti-codon, and T loops).
Source: RNAcentral
GGUGGGGUUCCCGAGAGAUCAAAGGGAGCUGACUGCAAAUCUGCCGUCAUCGACUUCGAAGGUUCGAAUCCUUCCCCCACCACCA